This 253-nucleotide ribosomal RNA is filed under the name uncultured bacterium. RNAcentral's name for it is "partial 16S ribosomal RNA". It matches the Rfam family "Bacterial small subunit ribosomal RNA", at positions 524 to 776 of the family's 1533-position model. The record is from RNAcentral.
UACGUAGGGGGCAAGCGUUAUCCGGAUUUACUGGGUGUAAAGGGGGCGCAGACGGCGAUGCAAGCCAGGAGUGAAAGCCCGGGGCCCAACCCCGGGACUGCUCUUGGAACUGCGUGGCUGGAGUGCAGGAGGGGCAAGCGGAAUUCCUAGUGUAGCGGUGAAAUGCGUAGAUAUUAGGAAGAACACCAGUGGCGAAGGCGGCUUGCUGGACAGUAACUGACGUUGAGGCUCGAAAGCGUGGGGAGCAAACAGG